This 74-nucleotide transfer RNA is filed under the name Schistocerca americana (American grasshopper). RNAcentral's name for it is "tRNA-Asn". It matches the Rfam family "tRNA". Rfam says of the family: Transfer RNA (tRNA) molecules are approximately 80 nucleotides in length. Their secondary structure includes four short double-helical elements and three loops (D, anti-codon, and T loops). The record is from RNAcentral. Lineage: Eukaryota; Metazoa; Arthropoda; Insecta; Orthoptera; Acrididae.
GCCUCCGUGGCGCAAUCGGCUAGCGCGUUCGGCUGUUGACCGAAAGGUUGGUGGUUCGAGCCCACGCGGGGGCG